This 73-nucleotide transfer RNA is filed under the name Vulpes vulpes (red fox). It matches the Rfam family "tRNA". From Rfam's summary of the family: Transfer RNA (tRNA) molecules are approximately 80 nucleotides in length. Their secondary structure includes four short double-helical elements and three loops (D, anti-codon, and T loops). Further hydrogen bonds mediate the characteristic L-shaped molecular structure. tRNAs have two regions of fundamental functional importance: the anti-codon, which is responsible for specific mRNA codon recognition, and the 3' end, to which the tRNAs corresponding amino acid is attached (by aminoacyl-tRNA synthetases). tRNAs cope with the degeneracy of the genetic code in two manners: having more than one tRNA (with a specific anti-codon) for a particular amino acid; and 'wobble' base-pairing, i.e. permitting non-standard base-pairing at the 3rd anti-codon position. RNAcentral also lists the same sequence under 1 other name. The record is from Rfam by way of RNAcentral. Lineage: Eukaryota; Metazoa; Chordata; Mammalia; Carnivora; Canidae.
GUCUGGCUAGCUCAGUUGGUAGAGCAUGUGACUCUUGAUCUCUGGAUUGUGAGUUCGAGCCCCAUGUGUGGCA